GAUGAAGAACGUAGCGAAAUGCGAUAAGUAAUGUGAAUUGCAGAAUUCAGUGAAUCAUCGAAUCUUUGAACGCACAUUGCGCCCCCUGGUAUUCCGGGGGGCAUGCCUGUUCGAGCGUCAUUACAACCCUCAAGCUCUGCUUGGUAUUGGGCCCCGCCAGUUCUGGCGGGCCCUAAAGUCAGUGGCGGUGCCUUCCGGCCCCGAGCGUAGUAAUUCUUCUCGCUCUGGAGACCCGGUUGUGUGCUUGCCAACAACCCCCAAUUUUUUAAGGUUGACCUCGGAUCAGGUAGGGAUACCCGCUGAACUUAAGCAUAUCAAUAAGCGGAGGA
This 329-nucleotide unclassified non-coding RNA is filed under the name soil metagenome. RNAcentral describes it as "partial contains 5.8S ribosomal RNA, internal transcribed spacer 2, and large subunit ribosomal RNA". The stretch from base 1 to 120 matches the Rfam family "5.8S ribosomal RNA", at positions 35 to 154 of the family's 154-position model. The record is from RNAcentral.